UGCCUUUAUGUGUUGCCCGUUCAUUUGCCGCUAAAUGAAUGUGGUGUCAAAAAAGGCGCAAAGAAUUUCUUGUUUUGUCGCUCAUUCUGAGAUAAUCUCUCGGUGGUAUCUCUAAUAACGACACGACACGAACAGUC
This is a small nucleolar RNA of Chanos chanos (milkfish), 137 nucleotides long. RefSeq annotates it as small nucleolar RNA SNORA13. The record is from RefSeq and is a predicted model, not a curated record. The transcript has a single exon. NCBI's taxonomy places the organism in Eukaryota, Metazoa, Chordata, Actinopteri, Gonorynchiformes, Chanidae.